Corapipo altera (White-ruffed manakin) is the source of this 380-nucleotide long non-coding RNA. RefSeq lists it as uncharacterized. The record is from RefSeq and is a predicted model, not a curated record. Lineage: Eukaryota; Metazoa; Chordata; Aves; Passeriformes; Pipridae. The transcript is spliced from 3 exons.
CUUGGUGACCUGGAGCUUUUCUGGGCAUCACCAGUGCCUGGUGGAAGGUGCCCUCGAGGCCAGACCACGGGACUUGGUCACCUGCAGUCCCUGUGGAAGGUGCCCUCGCGGCAAUUUUGUAAGAUUUGCCCAACAGGGUUUUUUCCAAGGCGUCUCUCGUGCAAGUUCCCUUGAGACCAGACUGUGGGAUGGCAGGGAGAUGCUUCAGCCUGAUCAGGCUGCUCAGGAGGAAGAAGAACAGGAGAGGCCCUGGGGCGACCCCAGCACAGCAAGCUGAGGAACCUCUGCAACAGGAUCCAGGCCAGGAGCGGACGGAGGAGCAGGAACGCCCCCGUGGCCGCUUCCGCAGAGCAGUUCAGAGGUUGCUGCAAAUCAUGCGC